UGCGUAGGUGGUUUGUUAAGUCUGAUGUGAAAGCCCUGGGCUCAACCUGGGAACUGCAUUGGAUACUGGCUUACUAGAGUGCGGUAGAGGGGUGUGGAAUUCCCGGUGUAGCAGUGAAAUGCGUAGAUAUCGGGAGGAACAUCUGUGGCGAAGGCGACACCCUGGACCAGCACUGACACUGAGGCACGAAAGCGUGGGGAGCAAACAGGAUUAGAUACCCUGGUAGUCCACGCCCUAAACGAUGCGAACUGGAUGUUGGGAGCAACUUGGCUCUCAGUAUCGAAGCUAACGCGUUAAGUUCGCCGCCUGGGAAGUACGGUCGCAAGACUGAA
RNAcentral lists this ribosomal RNA (332 nucleotides) under uncultured Lysobacter sp. RNAcentral describes it as "bacterial SSU rRNA". It matches the Rfam family "Bacterial small subunit ribosomal RNA", at positions 568 to 898 of the family's 1533-position model. The record is from RNAcentral. Lineage: Bacteria; Pseudomonadati; Pseudomonadota; Gammaproteobacteria; Lysobacterales; Lysobacteraceae.